Molecule: long non-coding RNA, 303 nt
Organism: Camponotus floridanus (Florida carpenter ant)
Lineage: Eukaryota; Metazoa; Arthropoda; Insecta; Hymenoptera; Formicidae
Exons: 3
Source: RefSeq, a predicted model, not a curated record
UUGAUAACAUAAGACCCAGACAAGUCAGCGAGCAUGCAACAUUUAUUGUUAUUAUUAAUCAUGUGUAUUCUAUAGAUCAUUUGAAAGAGAUAAACAAAUUAACAGAAAGCUACAAACAUAUGGCAAUGUAUUUACCAAUAAAUAGCACUAUAAACCAAUAUGUUUUAAAUAUUCAAAGCAAGAUACGAAGGCGCAAUUUCGAAAUCAGAUGUCAAAAAAAUUACUUUAAGAAUUUUAUGAAAUAUCAAUAAUAUCCGUUUAAAAGUAACAAUUAUGACGCAAACACAUCUAUAUAUCUUUCUU